UUGAGGUUGGGGCUCAGUGGUAGAGCACUUGCCUCCCGUGCAUGAGGCACUGGGUUCGAUCCUCAGUACCACAUA
RNAcentral lists this transfer RNA (75 nucleotides) under Marmota monax (woodchuck). Its description in RNAcentral is "tRNA.Gly". The stretch from base 5 to 71 matches the Rfam family "tRNA". From Rfam's summary of the family: Transfer RNA (tRNA) molecules are approximately 80 nucleotides in length. Their secondary structure includes four short double-helical elements and three loops (D, anti-codon, and T loops). The record is from RNAcentral. Lineage: Eukaryota; Metazoa; Chordata; Mammalia; Rodentia; Sciuridae.